GUACAGGGUAGCCUAGUGGACAUGGCAUCUGCCCGGUAAGCGGGACACUGUGGGUUCGAUUCCCAUCCCUGGACA
RNAcentral lists this transfer RNA (75 nucleotides) under Cordylochernes scorpioides. RNAcentral describes it as "tRNA-Thr". It matches the Rfam family "tRNA". Rfam says of the family: Transfer RNA (tRNA) molecules are approximately 80 nucleotides in length. The record is from RNAcentral. Lineage: Eukaryota; Metazoa; Arthropoda; Arachnida; Pseudoscorpiones; Chernetidae.